AGCGAACGCUGGCGGCAGGCCUAACACAUGCAAGUCGAACGGAUCCUUCGGGAUUAGUGGCGGACGGGUGAGUAACACGUGGGAACGUGCCCUUUGGUUCGGAACAACUCAGGGAAACUUGAGCUAAUACCGGAUGUGCCCUUCGGGGGAAAGAUUUAUCGCCAUUGGAGCUGCCCGCGUCUGAUUAGCUAGUUGGUGAGGUAACGGCUCACCAAGGCGACGAUCAGUAGCUGGUCUGAGAGGAUGAUCAGCCACAUUGGGACUGGGACACGGCCCAAACUCCGACGGGAGGCGGCAGUGGGGAAUGUUGCGCAAUGGGCGGAAGCCUGACGCGUCCAUGCCGCGUGAAUGAUUAAGGUCGUAGGAAUGUAAAUUUCUUUCACCGGGGACGAUAAUGACGGUACCCGGAGAAGAAGCCCCGGCUAACUUCGUGCCAGCCGCCGCCGUAA
This 449-nucleotide ribosomal RNA is filed under the name uncultured bacterium. RNAcentral's name for it is "partial 16S ribosomal RNA". It matches the Rfam family "Bacterial small subunit ribosomal RNA", at positions 29 to 523 of the family's 1533-position model. The record is from RNAcentral.